GCAUUACUGGAAUACCUCCCAACCCUUGGAAGUCAUGACACGUGACGUCACUCAACCACAGUCCACACACAGUUUCCGCAGUCCACACUUCUCUAGUAAACUAUAUAGUCAGGUUACUGCAUCCACCGAGAAAAAGAAAAUAUGCCACCUAAGAAACGGCCUUCCAUUGGGCAAAAGACUUCAAGAGCCAAAAGGAAUGCAGCAUACAGGGCGGUGGAAACAUCAGAGCAGAGGGAGGCCAGACUGGAAGCCCAAAGGACAAGAGUUGCUGCAUCCAGAGCAGCGGAAGUACAGAAACAGAGGGAGGCCAAACUGAUAAAUCUGAAGAAUAGAGUAGCUGCAUCUACAUCAGCAGAGGGACCUUAACAAGAGGCAGGCCAGACUGUUAGUCCAGAGGACAAGAACUGGUACUUCCAGAUCAGCAGAAGAAACUGAACAGAGGGAGCCGAGAGUGCGAGACGAAAGAACAAACAGUGGGACUAUACUGUUCAACAAGAGAGGCCUCAGAGAAGAGAGGCCUGGGAAGACCUGGGGGGAAGAAGACUCUAGGAGAAGACCGUCGGAACAUCAUUUCAAUAAUUAUUAAGCCGGUAACACAGAACAGUGAAAUUUUUAAAACUUUCUGGACGGAUCACAUUUUUUUUGAAGGUGGUCCCAAAUCUAUGUUAUUUGAAACUUUAUGGUUUUAUAUA
Long non-coding RNA from Macrobrachium nipponense, 692 nucleotides. RefSeq lists it as uncharacterized. NCBI's taxonomy places the organism in Eukaryota, Metazoa, Arthropoda, Malacostraca, Decapoda, Palaemonidae. The transcript is spliced from 3 exons. The record is from RefSeq and is a predicted model, not a curated record.